RNAcentral lists this long non-coding RNA (751 nucleotides) under Triticum aestivum (bread wheat). RNAcentral's name for it is "long non-coding RNA (TAES_LNC018314)". Lineage: Eukaryota; Viridiplantae; Streptophyta; Magnoliopsida; Poales; Poaceae. The record is from RNAcentral.
UAUCUUGCCUUUCAGCUCAUGGUCAAACUCACUUGAUCAAUUUUCAGUAUCCAGUCUGAUGAAUGGCUUGGAGUUCGGCUGCAAAUGAAUCUGAGCAUUUGUAAAUAGCAUCCCUUCUACUCGAAGUUGUCCCAGUGAGCCGACAACUAUGAGAAGGUAAGUUAUUAACUGUACAGGUAUGCAUUUCGAUUUUGUGGGCUCACGAUACACUGGUUUAUCUAUGUAUAAGUAAAGAUUUGCUCGCACUUCUAUAUCAUGAUUAGGCUGUCACAGUAUUUGAUUACCAAGUAUGUUUGGUUAUUUGCCAAUUUUGUAAUUUUUGUAUGGAAUGUAUCAUUUUGUUGACCAUUAUAUGACUUUCCAAUUAGAAAAUGGAUGUUUCAUGCAAAAAUUCUUUUGUUCCUCUAGAAAUUCUCUCAUGCCAUAUUCAUUUGUGAAAUAGGGCUAAUAGUUUGUGUGAUUUCAGGUUGGAAAGGGGAUCUUUAAGGAUUAGAAGGGCCGAGAUGCGAAAGCAUGGAGCCUUUCUUCUACUGGUUAGUGUUACAACUGAACCGGCCAGGGUCUUAUUCAAAGUAUCUUAGACCUUCUUGUAAAUAGACAGUCAAAGCUUUCUUAUUCAAAAUCUUUGCAUUUAAGUUUGAAAUAUUUAUGUUGCAUCAGCUCACACUAUCCAUUUUUGUAUAACAUUACCCUUUGAUUAAGUUAUUUGGGUUCAUUACUGAACUUUGUACUGCUUCUUGUUCAUUUGUAU